CCUACGGGUGGCUGCAGUCGAGAAUCUUCGGCAAUGGGCGCAAGCCUGACCGAGCGACGCCGCGUGCGGGAUGAAGGUCUUCGGAUUGUAAACCGCUGUCGGAGGGGAUGAAAUGCAUGGGGGUACUCACCUGUGUUUGACAGAGCCUCGGAGGAAGCACGGGCUAAGUUCGUGCCAGCAGCCGCGGUAAUACGAACUGUGCGAACGAUAUUCGGAAUCACUGGGCUUAGAGGGUGCGUAAGCGAGGUGUGAAAUCCCCCGGCUCAAACGGGGAACAGCGCUUGAAACUGGGGUGCUCGAGUGAGGUAGGGGUGUAUGGAACUUCCGGUGGAGCGGUGAAAUGUGUAGAUAUCGGAAGGAACGCCGGCGGCGAAAGCGGUACACUGGGCCUUGUCUGACGCUGAGGCACGAAAGCUAGGGGAGUGAACGGGAUUAGAUACCCUUGUAGUC
Molecule: ribosomal RNA, 450 nt
Filed under: uncultured bacterium
Lineage: Bacteria
Description: partial 16S ribosomal RNA
Rfam family: Bacterial small subunit ribosomal RNA
Source: RNAcentral